This is a long non-coding RNA of Xyrauchen texanus (razorback sucker), 1494 nucleotides long. RefSeq lists it as uncharacterized. NCBI's taxonomy places the organism in Eukaryota, Metazoa, Chordata, Actinopteri, Cypriniformes, Catostomidae. The transcript is spliced from 4 exons. The record is from RefSeq and is a predicted model, not a curated record.
GUGAUGAUCUCUCACUCGUUGUUCACACAAUUUUUAUAGAAAUGUGACAAAUGGAUGGUAAUGUUUCUAAAAUAUUUGCUCGUGUAAAAUAUCUUAAGCAUCUUUAAUGUACAUACACAAAGUACAUUGACUUUAAUAUUACAAGUAUUAAUAUUACACAAUUUAGUACUCUCCAUGAAAUGUGUUUGCAUGUUGAAAAUAAAUUACAACAUUGUUUGAGGAUGAAAAAAAUUGUUUUUAGUGGAGCCAAAUAAAUAAAUAAAUAAAUAAAAUGCCACAGAGAAACUGCAAAUGUCAGUAUUCUAUAUUUAUUUUAUCAGAAUCAUUAUUUGAUUUGGUCAAUUUCCACUUUUUCCCCAACUCAUUUGUACUUGUUGUACAUAAAAAAAUAUUUCUGCAUUUUAGAAAAUGUACCAUGUUCAGCACUCUUCCAUGCAGUGUUUGUCUGCAAUAUUCUAAUUUUGCUCUUCAGUGGAAUAGUGAACAUAAUUCUAUGUGAAAGACUGAGGAGAAGAAAAUGUGAACGGUGUGCUGCACAGCAGAGAUGGGUUCAACACACUCCGUCAGACGGUGACCCACCUCAACCAAAUUGCUCUGAUGAUCGAGAUAGUGUGGACCUGAACUACACAAUGCUACAAUUUCCUGGGGACAACACAAACACAGAGGGCUCUGUGAGCGUGCAGAGAGAGAAUACAAUAAAGGACACUGUGUAUUCCAGCCUAAAAUGUCAAAUUUCAAACAUUACUGAAGGGAACUAAUGUUUUUUUUUAUUUUUAUUUUUUCUUGUAAUUGUUCAAAGACUGUUGACACAUGACAUGAUUGGACUGAAAUAAGUAUGUAUUUGAACUUUUUAAAUUACUAAAGACUUACCUAAGACUUGGAAAACAUGGUGGUCCUUAUCUUCAACAGAAUUCCAUUAACCAUAGAGGUUGCAUCAUAUAGAGUAUGGGCUUCACAUUAAGCAUUUCCAGGUACUGGUCUUUAAAACUGAUUAAUAGUAAUAAAAUAUAUAUUUUUAUUAUUGUUAUGGUAUUGAAUAUAAUUGUAUUAUUCAAUGUUAUAUUUAUAUCUUGAUUACAUCACUUUCACUCAACAUUGCAAGGCUAUCUGAUAAAACCAUUGAGCCAUCAUUUCAGAAAUGCUUUAAUUUCAAAGUAAAUUGAACACUACACAACUUACCUAUAAACUGUGUAAAUGAAUGUCUAGUACAAAGAGUUAUGUUCUUAAAACCUAGUUCAGAUGGCAAAUCAAAUAUAGAUCACAUUAUUAUUUCUGUAAAUACUGUUUACACAGAGAUUUGCCAAUUACACUGUAACCUCAAGAGGGUGGUUAUAAUGUGCAAAAGUAAUUUCACCCCUGUUGCUAAUUUAUAAUUGGUGAAACCACAGGUGUCCAAAAUUUAUUAUUGGGGGUCAGAUGCAGAAAAAAAAAAUACUGUAAUACAGCCGCAUGACUGUAAUAAUAAUGAUAAUAAAAGGCUAAAUGUUCUUAGAU